UUCUCCGUGGCGCAAUUGGCUAGCGCGUUCGACUGUUAUUCAUUUGACAUCGAGAGGUUGACAGUUCAAGCCUGUCCGGGGAAG
RNAcentral lists this transfer RNA (84 nucleotides) under Morchella conica CCBAS932. It matches the Rfam family "tRNA". From Rfam's summary of the family: Transfer RNA (tRNA) molecules are approximately 80 nucleotides in length. Their secondary structure includes four short double-helical elements and three loops (D, anti-codon, and T loops). RNAcentral also lists the same sequence under 1 other name. Lineage: Eukaryota; Fungi; Ascomycota; Pezizomycetes; Pezizales; Morchellaceae. The record is from Rfam by way of RNAcentral.